GAAGCGAAGCAGUGAUGUGAAGCAAAUCGCACCAAAGCCAGUCCCAGUUCGGAUAAGAGGCUGAAACUCGCCUCUUUGAAGUCGGAAUCGCUAGUAAUCGCAGAUCAGCAUGUUGCGGUGAAUACGUUCCCGGGUCUUGUACACACCGCCCGUCAAACCAUGAGAGUCACCAACACCCGAAGUCCGCCUUGGCGGCCUAAGGUGGGGGAGAUGAUUGGGGUUAAGUCGUAACAAGGUAAC
This 240-nucleotide ribosomal RNA is filed under the name uncultured bacterium. RNAcentral's name for it is "partial 16S ribosomal RNA". It matches the Rfam family "Bacterial small subunit ribosomal RNA", at positions 1246 to 1500 of the family's 1533-position model. The record is from RNAcentral.